This 69-nucleotide transfer RNA is filed under the name Chiroteuthis picteti. Its description in RNAcentral is "tRNA-Leu". Lineage: Eukaryota; Metazoa; Mollusca; Cephalopoda; Oegopsida; Chiroteuthidae. The record is from RNAcentral.
ACAGAGUUGGCAGAAAUUAUGUGAAUAAUUUAGGUUUAUUUUAUGGGAUAUUUAUAAUCUCACUUUGUA